Molecule: ribosomal RNA, 466 nt
Filed under: Hynobius leechii (Gensan salamander)
Lineage: Eukaryota; Metazoa; Chordata; Amphibia; Caudata; Hynobiidae
Description: partial 16S ribosomal RNA
Rfam family: Bacterial large subunit ribosomal RNA
Source: RNAcentral
UUGUCUUUUAAAUAAAGACCAGUAUGAAUGGCAAGACGAAAGUUCAACUGUCUCCCUAAAUUAAUCAGUGAAAUUGAUUUCUCCGUGCAGAAGCGGAGAUAUAAUUAUAAGACGAGAAGACCCUAUGGAGCUUUAAACAUAUAAUCAAUUGUAUUUCAUAAAAUCCAAAAGAUAAAAUAUAAAAUAAAACAAUAUGAUUAAAAUUUUAGGUUGGGGCGACCACGGAGAAAAACAAAACCUCCGAGAUGAAAAGAAUAUCUUAAUUUAAGAACCACAAUUCCAAAAAAUAAAAUAUUUAACAUAAUUGAUCCAAUAUUUUGAUCAACGAACCAAGUUACCCUAGGGAUAACAGCGCAAUCCUCUCCAAGAGUCCCUAUCGACGAGUGGGUUUACGACCUCGAUGUUGGAUCAGGACACCCCGAUGGUGCAGCCGCUAUUAAAGGUUCGUUUGUUCAACGAUUAAAGU